Molecule: ribosomal RNA, 438 nt
Filed under: uncultured bacterium
Lineage: Bacteria
Description: bacterial SSU rRNA
Rfam family: Bacterial small subunit ribosomal RNA
Source: RNAcentral
UAGGGAAUUUUCGUCAAUGGGGGGAACCCUGAACGAGCAAUGCCGCGUGUGUGAAGAAGGUCUUCGGAUCGUAAAGCACUGUUGUAAGUGAAGAAUGCCACAUAGAGGAAAUGCUAUGUGGGUGACGGUAGCUUACCAGAAAGCCACGGCUAACUACGUGCCGGCAGCCGCGGUAAUACGUAGGUGACAAGCGUUAUCCGGAAUCAUUGGGCGUAAAGGGUGCGUAGGUGGCACGAUAAGUCUGAAGUAAAAGGCAACAGCUCAACUGUUGUAUGCUUUGGAAACUGUCGAGCUAGAGUGCAGAAGAGGGCGAUGGAAUUCCAUGUGUAGCGGUAAAAUGCGUAGAUAUAUGGAGGAACACCAGUGGCGAAGGCGGUCGCCUGGUCUGUAACUGACACUGAUGCACGAAAGCGUGGGGAGCGAACAGGAUUAGAUACC